Molecule: ribosomal RNA, 332 nt
Filed under: Tenebrio molitor (yellow mealworm)
Lineage: Eukaryota; Metazoa; Arthropoda; Insecta; Coleoptera; Tenebrionidae
Description: partial 12S ribosomal RNA
Source: RNAcentral
AUUAUUAUUAGUUAUGGUCUAUAAAAUUAAAAAAUUUGGCGGUAUUUUAGUCUAUUCAGAGGAACCUGUUUUUUGAUCGAUAUUCCACGAUAAUUUGUACUUUAGCUUUAAAUUUAUAUAUCGUCGUUGUUAAAAAUUUUAGGAAAAUUUUAAUUUUUAUAAUUUUUAAUUUUAUAAUAAUUCAGAUCAAGGUGUAGUUUAUGUUAAAGUUAAAAUGGGUUACAUUAAAUUUAUUUGUGGUUUUUUUAUUUAAAAUUUAAAAUAAAAUGGAUUUGAUAGUAAAUUUUUGUUUUAUGAAAAUUGAUUUAGCUCUAAAAUAUGUACACAUCGCC